This 318-nucleotide unclassified non-coding RNA is filed under the name Hevea brasiliensis (rubber tree). Lineage: Eukaryota; Viridiplantae; Streptophyta; Magnoliopsida; Malpighiales; Euphorbiaceae. The record is from RNAcentral.
CCUUCACUCUCCUCGCCAUAAUCCUGAACCACGACACAAGAGCAACCAACCACCUUCCUGGCUUUGCCCUCAGAAUCAAUCUUACACAAGCCAGCCCACUCGCCAAGGGUCUUAGCACUAGGAAUAGUCAAAAGCCCAACACCAUGAUCGGCACAAAGGCCUUUGACAAGUUUAACAUAGUCCGGCUGGUUGCAGUCCUCUGCCAAUACGCAGAGCUGGGCAGUAUGCUUCUCGAUCACUUUUGCACCUUCGUGAAGACCUCGAAUAAGCCCACCAUGAGCCAAAGAUCUUCUGAGGACUAGCUGCAAUGCAGUCAUC